This 497-nucleotide ribosomal RNA is filed under the name uncultured bacterium. RNAcentral's name for it is "partial 16S ribosomal RNA". It matches the Rfam family "Bacterial small subunit ribosomal RNA", at positions 28 to 507 of the family's 1533-position model. The record is from RNAcentral.
GAUGAACGCUGGCGGCGUGCCUAAUACAUGCAAGUCGAGCGAACAGACGAGGAGCUUGCUCCUCUGACGUUAGCGGCGGACGGGUGAGUAACACGUGGAUAACCUACCUAUAAGACUGGGAUAACUUCGGGAAACCGGAGCUAAUACCGGAUAAUAUAUUGAACCGCAUGGUUCAAUAGUGAAAGACGGUUUUGCUGUCACUUAUAGAUGGAUCCGCGCGGCAUUAGCUAGUUGGUAAGGUAACGGCUUACCAAGGCAACGAUGCGUAGCCGACCUGAGAGGGUGAUCGGCCAAACUGGAACGGAGACACGGUCAAGAAUCCUACGGGAGGCAGCAGUAGGGAAUCUUCCGCAAUGGGCGAAAGCCUGACGGAGCAACGCCGCGCGAGUGAUGAAGGUCGUCGGAUCGUAAAACUCUGUUAUUAGGGAAGAACAAAUGUGUAAGUAACUAUGCACGUCUUGACGGUACCUAAUCAGAAAGCCACGGCUAACUACGUG